GGCCUGGUGGUGGAACGGUUAACACGCCUGCUAUUCGUAUUGAAAUGAUAAAAUAAGUUUCAGCAGGAGACUCCUUGUUCGAAUCAAGGCCAAGCCG
Mycena epipterygia is the source of this 97-nucleotide non-coding RNA. NCBI's taxonomy places the organism in Eukaryota, Fungi, Basidiomycota, Agaricomycetes, Agaricales, Mycenaceae. The record is from the annotation of a GenBank genome assembly.